AGAGUUUGAUCCUGGCUCAGAGCGAACGCUGGCGGCGUGCUUAACACAUGCAAGUCGAACGCGCAGCAUUCUGUAGCAAUACAGAGUGUGGGCGCGUGGCGAACGGGUGCGUAACACGUGGAUAACCUUCCUUGAGGUGGGGAAUAACCCAGUGAAAAUUGGGCUAAUACCGCAUAACAUCGCGAUGGCACAUGCUGAUGCGAUCAAAGGCGCAAGUCGCCACAAGAGGGAUCCGCGGCCGAUUAGCUUGUUGGCGAGGUAAUGGCUCACCAAGGCAAUGAUCGGUAGCCGGACUGAGAGGUUGGCCGGCCACACUGGAACUGAGACACGGUCCAGACUCCUACGGGAGGCAGCAGUGGGGAAUCUUGCACAAUGGACGAAAGUCUGAUGCAGCAACGCCGCGUGGGGGAUGAAGCUUCUCGGAGUGUAAACCCCUUUCGACCCGGAAGAAUGCCCGCAAGGGUAUGACGGUACGGGUAUAAGAAGCCCCGGCUAACUACGUGCCAGCAGCCGCGGUAAUACGUAGGGGGCCAGCGUUGCUCGGAAUUACUGGGCGUAAAGGGUCCGUAGGCGGUGUAGCAAGUCGAUAGUGAAAUCUCUGGGCUUAACCCAGAGGCUGCUAACGAAACUGCUGUGCUAGAGUGUGAGAGAGGCGAGUGGAAUUACGGGUGUAGCGGUGAAAUGCGUAGAUAUCCGUAGGAACAUCCGAGGCGAAGGCGGCUCGCUGGAUCACAACUGACGCUGAGGGACGAAAGCUAGGGGAGCAAACAGGAUUAGAUACCCCGGUAGUCC
Molecule: ribosomal RNA, 792 nt
Filed under: uncultured bacterium
Lineage: Bacteria
Description: bacterial SSU rRNA
Rfam family: Bacterial small subunit ribosomal RNA
Source: RNAcentral